CGAGUCAUUGUAGCAUACAAGGCAUACGGCUCAGUAACGCGUACUCAAUCUAACCUAUGGACGGGAAUAACCUCGGGAAACUGAGAAUAAUGCCCGAUAGAACAUUAUGCCUGGAAUGGUUUAUGUUCCAAAUGAUUUAUCGCCGUAGGAUGGGACUGCGGCCUAUCAGUUUGUUGGUGAGGUAAUGGCCCACCAAGACUAUUACAGGUACGGGCUCUGAGAGGAGUAGCCCGGAGAUGGGUACUGAGACACGGACCCAGGCCCUAUGGGGCGCAGCAGGCGAGAAAACUUUGCAAUGUGCGAAAGCACGACAAGGUUAAUCCGAGUGGUUUCUGCUAAAGAAACCUUUUGUCAGUCCUAGAAACACUGAUGAAUAAGGGGUGGGCAAGUUCUGGUGUCAGCCGCCGCGGUAAAACCAGCACCUCAAGUGGUCAGGAUGAUUAUUGGGCCUAAAGCAUCCGUAGCCGGCUCUGUAAGUUUUCGGUUAAAUCUGUACGCUCAACGUACAGGCUGCCGGGAAUACUGCAGAGCUAGGGAGUGGGAGAGGUAGACGGUACUCGGUAGGAAGGGGUAAAAUCCUUUGAUCUAUUGAUGACCACCUGUGGCGAAGGCGGUCUACCAGAACACGUCCGACGGUGAGGGAUGAAAGCUGGGGGAGCAAACCGGAUUAGAUACCCGGGUAGUCCCAGCUGUAAACUAUGCAAACUCAGUGAUGCAUUGGCUUGUGGCCAAUGCAGUGCUGCAGGGAAGCCGUUAAGUUUGCCGCCUGGGAAGUACGUACGCAAGUAUGACACUCAAAAGGAUUUGA
Molecule: ribosomal RNA, 808 nt
Filed under: uncultured crenarchaeote
Lineage: Archaea; Thermoproteati; Thermoproteota
Description: bacterial SSU rRNA
Rfam family: Archaeal small subunit ribosomal RNA
Source: RNAcentral